AGUGAACGCUGGCGGCAUGCCUAACACAUGCAAGUCGAACGGCAGCGCAGUCGUAGCAAUACGAUGGGCGGCGAGUGGGGGACGGGUGAGGAACACAUCGGAAUCUGCCCGGUUGUGGGGGAUAACGUAGGGAAACUUACGCUAAUACCGCAUACGAUCGAGAGAUGAAAGCGGGGGACCGUAAGGCCUCGCGCAGUCGGAUGAGCCGAUGUCGGAUUAGCUAGUUGGUGGGGUAAAGGCCUACCAAGGCGACGAUCCGUAGCUGGUCUGAGAGGAUGAUCAGCCACACUGGGACUGAGACACGGCCCAGACUCCUACGGGAGGCAGCAGUGGGGAAUAUUGGACAAUGGGGGCAACCCUGAUCCAGCAAUGCCGCGUGUGUGAAGAAGGCCUUCGGGUUGUAAAGCGAC
This 410-nucleotide ribosomal RNA is filed under the name uncultured bacterium. RNAcentral describes it as "bacterial SSU rRNA". It matches the Rfam family "Bacterial small subunit ribosomal RNA", at positions 30 to 434 of the family's 1533-position model. The record is from RNAcentral.